RNAcentral lists this ribosomal RNA (305 nucleotides) under uncultured bacterium. RNAcentral describes it as "bacterial SSU rRNA". It matches the Rfam family "Bacterial small subunit ribosomal RNA", at positions 333 to 655 of the family's 1533-position model. The record is from RNAcentral.
AUCCACCUACGGGAGGCAGCAGUGGGGGAUAUUGCACAAUGGGGGGAGCCCUGAUGCAGCGACGCCGCGUGGGCGAUGGAGUACUUCGGUAUGUAAAGCCCUAUCAGCAGGGAAGAAAAUGACGGUACCUGACUAAGAAGCCCCGGCUAAAUACGUGCCAGCAGCCGCGGUAAUACGUAUGGGGCAAGCGUUAUCCGGAUUUACUGGGUGUAAAGGGAGCGUAGGCGGCCUGGCAAGCCUGAUGUGAAAUACCGGGGCCCAACCCCGGGGCUGCAUUGGGAACUGCCAGGCUGGCGUGCCGGAGG